UACGUAGGUGGCAAGCGUUGUCCGGAUUUAUUGGGUUUAAAGGGUGCGUAGGCGGCUUGUUAAGUCAGUGGUAAAAGGUAGCAGCUUAACUGUUUUACAUGCCAUUGAUACUGGCAAGCUUGAGAGUUUUGGAGGAUGAUAGAAUUCCUGAUGUAGCGGUGAAAUGCUUAGAUAUCAGGAGGAAUACCAAUUGCGAAGGCAGUCAUCUGUGAAAUUUCUGACGCUGAGGCACGAAAGUGCGGGUAUCAAACAGG
RNAcentral lists this ribosomal RNA (254 nucleotides) under uncultured bacterium. Its description in RNAcentral is "partial 16S ribosomal RNA". It matches the Rfam family "Bacterial small subunit ribosomal RNA", at positions 524 to 776 of the family's 1533-position model. The record is from RNAcentral.